Molecule: ribosomal RNA, 1332 nt
Filed under: Portunus trituberculatus (swimming crab)
Lineage: Eukaryota; Metazoa; Arthropoda; Malacostraca; Decapoda; Portunidae
Description: l-rRNA
Rfam family: Archaeal large subunit ribosomal RNA (bases 632-1332)
Source: RNAcentral
UAAUUUUGAAAUAUUGCUAAGUUGUUAAUCAAAGUUCAUAAAUUUUUAAAAAUUAAUAUAAGUUAAAAUAUAGUAAAGAUUAUUAAAAUGUGUUUCAAAGCUAUAGAGUAUAAGUACUGAAUAGGAAAUAAUAUUAGGAUUAAAAAAUAGUAAAGUAGGUUUUAAUUUCCGUACCUUGUGUAUCAGGGAUAAUUAAACUUUCGUGAGUAAAAAGUCACUAAUCCCGAAGUAAAGAUAGCUAGUAUAUUAAACAAGUUUUUGUUAUAUAAAAAUUUGUAAUGCUAUACUAAAGAUGAAAUGUCAUACGAGCUUUACAAUAUCUGGUUCCUUAGGAAUUAAAUAUAAUUUAACUAUUAAGUUGAAAUUACUUAAUAAUAAAGGGUAGGAGGGAUGAGCUUCUUAUCACUAAAAAUAAUUAUUUAAUAGAUUGAUUUUUAGUCAACCUUACUAAGCUUAAAAGUAGCUAUGGUAGUAAAGUGUUCUAAUUUAGGUUCUAUAAUAAAGCUAUUUAUUAUGUCUUUAAUUAAAUUACUAAGGUAUUAUUCUAAUCUAAUAAGUUUAAGAAAUAAUGAUUGUAUAAGUAAAGUAUAAUGUGUAAAAAGUUAGAUAUAAAGUAAUUGAAAAAUUAUAACAGUUAAAAGUAAUGAAAAAGGAACUCGGCAAAAGGUUUUCUUGCCUGUUUAUCAAAAACAUGUCUAUUAGAGGGUAUUUAUAGUCUAGCCUGCUCACUGAUAAAAAUUAUUAAAUAGCCGCGGUAUCUUGACCGUGCAAAGGUAGCAUAAUCAUUAGUUUUUUAAUUGAAAACUUGUAUGAAUGGUUGGACAAAGAAAAAGCUGUCUCUUUCAUUAAAAUUGAAUUUAACUUCUAAGUGAAAAGGCUUAGAUAUUUUAGAGGGACGAUAAGACCCUAUAAAGCUUUAUAAAUUUAGAAAUUUUAUAUAUUUUUUUAAUAAUGAUAAUCUUUUGAAAAUUUAUUGGGUUGGGGCAACAAAAGUAUAAUUAUUAAUAACUGCUAGAAAGUAUUACAAUUGUUUUUGUCAUAAAGAAAAUUAGUUGAUCCCUGAAAGGGAUUAAAAGAUCAAGUUACUUUAGGGAUAACAGCGUAAUUUAUUCUGAGAGUCCUUAUCAAAGAAUAAGUUUGCGACCUCGAUGUUGAAUUAAAAUGUCUUUAUAGUGCAGCAGCUAUAUAAGAAGGUCUGUUCGACCUUUAAUUUUUUACAUGAUUUGAGUUCAGACCGGCGUGAGCCAGGUCGGUUUCUAUCUUCUAAAAUUAAAAAGGUUACUUUAGUACGAAAGGAUUAAGUAAUCAAAAAUCUUUUAAAAAUUUGAAAUA